GUUGCAGUUAAAAGCUCGUAGUUGACCUUGGGUCUGGCUGGCCGGUCCGCCUCACCGCGAGUACUGGUCCGGCUGGACCUUUCCUUCUGGGGAACCUCAUGGCCUUCACUGGCUGUGGGGGGAACCAGGACUUUUACUGUGAAAAAAUUAGAGUGUUCAAAGCAGGCCUUUGCUCGAAUACAUUAGCAUGGAAUAAUAGAAUAGGACGUGUGGUUCUAUUUUGUUGGUUUCUAGGACCGCCGUAAUGAUUAAUAGGGAUAGUCGGGGGCGUCAGUAUUCAGCUGUCAGAGGUGAAAUUCUUGGAUUUGCUGAAGACUAACUACUGCGAAAGCAUUCGCCAAGGAUGUUUUCAUUAAUCAGGGAACGAAAGUUAGGGGAUCGAAGACGAUCAGAUACCGUCGUAGUCUUAACCAUAAACUAUGCCGACCAAGGAUCGGAUGGUGUUAUAUUUAUAUUGACCCAUUCGGCAUUUCAGCGAAAGCCAAGUUUUUGGGUUCCGGGGGGAGUAUGGUCGCAAGGCUGAAACUUAAAGGAAUUGACGGAAGGGCACCACCAGGAGUGGAGCCUGCGGCUUAAUUUGACUCAACACGGGGAAACUCACCAGGUCCAGACAUAGUAAGGAUUGACAGAUUGAGAGCUCUUUCUUGAUUCUAUGGGGUGGUGGUGCAUGGCCGUUCUUAGUUCGUGGAGUGAUUUGUCUGGUUAAUUCCGAUAACGAACGAGACCUUACUCUGCUAAAUAGCCAGCAUGACUUUGGUCGUGUCCUUUUUGGCUUCUUAGAGAGACUAUCAUGUUUAUUGAUGGAAGUUUGAGGCAUAACAGUCUGUGAUGCCUUAGAUGUCUGGGCCGCACGCGCGCUACACUGAU
This 867-nucleotide ribosomal RNA is filed under the name uncultured fungus. RNAcentral's name for it is "bacterial SSU rRNA". It matches the Rfam family "Eukaryotic small subunit ribosomal RNA", at positions 612 to 1507 of the family's 1831-position model. The record is from RNAcentral. Lineage: Eukaryota; Fungi.